This 248-nucleotide unclassified non-coding RNA is filed under the name Hevea brasiliensis (rubber tree). The record is from RNAcentral. Lineage: Eukaryota; Viridiplantae; Streptophyta; Magnoliopsida; Malpighiales; Euphorbiaceae.
CAAAUAUAAUUAUGUACAUGGACAUAAGAAAAGGCUUACAUCUUAUACUAACAGAUUACUAUGAUAUAAGCAGUAAAUCCCAAGUAAUUGAGCCAUUUUUGUCAUGAUUUUAUGGAAAAGAUAAGGCUUAAUGACACCCAAAACAAAAAAAGAGAAUCUAAACUUUUAACACUUUCUAAUGUUAUUGGGAACUUUACAACUUACCAAAUCAGGAUUAAAAUUUAACAUUUACAACAAUUUUAUCACAG